GAUGAACGCUGGCGGCGUGCCUAAUACAUGCAAGUCGAGCGAACGGACGAGAAGCUUGCUUCUCUGAUGUUAGCGGCGGACGGGUGAGUAACACGUGGAUAACCUACCUAUAAGACUGGGAUAACUUCGGGAAACCGGAGCUAAUACCGGAUAAUAUUUUGAACCGCAUGGUUCAAAAGUGAAAGACGGUUUUGCUGUCACUUAUAGAUGGAUCCGCGCUGCAUUAGCUAGUUGGUAAGGUAACGGCUUACCAAGGCAACGAUGCAUAGCCGACCUGAGAGGGUGAUCGGCCACACUGGAACUGAGACACGGUCCAGACUCCUACGGGAGGCAGCAGUAGGGAAUCUUCCGCAAUGGGCGAAAGCCUGACGGAGCAACGCCGCGUGAGUGAUGAAGGUCUUCGGAUCGUAAAACUCUGCUAUUAGGGAAGAACAUAAGUGUAAGUAACUGUGCACAUCUUGACGGUACCUAAUCAGAAAGCCACGGCUAACUACGUG
Molecule: ribosomal RNA, 497 nt
Filed under: uncultured bacterium
Lineage: Bacteria
Description: partial 16S ribosomal RNA
Rfam family: Bacterial small subunit ribosomal RNA
Source: RNAcentral